AACGUAGGACACAAGCGUUAUCCGGAGUUACUGGGCGUAAAGGGCGCGUAGGCGGUCAGCACAAGUCAGUUGUGAAAUCUCCGGGCUUAACUCGGAAAGGUCAACUGAUACUGUGCGACUAGAGUGCGGAAGGGGCAACUGGAAUUCUCGGUGUAGCGGUGAAAUGCGUAGAUAUCGAGAGGAACACCUGCGGCGAAGGCGGGUUGCUGGGCCGACACUGACGCUGAUGCGCGAAAGCCAGGGGAGCGAACGGG
RNAcentral lists this ribosomal RNA (254 nucleotides) under uncultured bacterium. RNAcentral's name for it is "partial 16S ribosomal RNA". It matches the Rfam family "Bacterial small subunit ribosomal RNA", at positions 524 to 776 of the family's 1533-position model. The record is from RNAcentral.